GACGAACGCUGGCGGCGUGCUUAACACAUGCAAGUCGAACGGAAAGGCCCUGCUUUUGUGGGGUUCUCGAGUGGCGAACGGGUGAGUAACACGUGAGUAACCUGCCCUUGACUUUGUGAUAACUUCAGGAAACUGGGGCUAAUACCGGAUAGGAGCUCCUGCUGCAUGGUGGGGGUUGGAAAGUUUCGGCUGUUGGGGAUGGACUCGCGGCUUAUCAGCUUGUUGGUGGGGUAGUGGCUUACCAAGGCUUUGACGGGUAGCCGGCCUGAGAGGGUGACCGGCCACAUUGGGACUGAGAUACGGCCCAGAAGCCUACGGGAGGCAGCAGUGGGGAAUAUUGCACAAUGGGCGGAAGCCUGAUGCAGCAACGCCGCGUGCGGGAUGACGGCCUUCGGGUUGUAAACAGCUUUCGACUGUGACGAAGCGUGAGUGACGGUAAUGGGUAAAGAAGCACCGGCUAACUACGUG
RNAcentral lists this ribosomal RNA (468 nucleotides) under uncultured bacterium. RNAcentral's name for it is "partial 16S ribosomal RNA". It matches the Rfam family "Bacterial small subunit ribosomal RNA", at positions 28 to 507 of the family's 1533-position model. The record is from RNAcentral.